GCCCCGUUAGCUCAGUCGGUAGAGCAUCAGGCUUUUAACCUGGUUGUCACGGGUUCGAGCCCCGUACGAGGCU
Molecule: transfer RNA, 73 nt
Organism: Intoshia linei
Lineage: Eukaryota; Metazoa; Orthonectida; Rhopaluridae
Rfam family: tRNA
About the family: Transfer RNA (tRNA) molecules are approximately 80 nucleotides in length. Their secondary structure includes four short double-helical elements and three loops (D, anti-codon, and T loops).
Source: Rfam